This 94-nucleotide ribosomal RNA is filed under the name Staphylococcus aureus. Lineage: Bacteria; Bacillati; Bacillota; Bacilli; Caryophanales; Staphylococcaceae. The record is from RNAcentral.
GUCACACCUGUUCCCAUGUCGAACACAGAAGUUAAGCUCCUUAGCGUCGAUGGUAGUCGAACUUACGUUCCGCUAGAGUAGAACGUUGCCAGGC